GAGUUUGAUCCUGGCUCAGAACGAACGCUGGCGGCGCGCCUAACACAGCAAGUCGAGCGAGAGGCCGGGGCAACCCGGUAGUACAGCGGCAAACGGGUGAGUAACACGUGGGUGACCUACCCUGGAGUGGAGAAUAACCCGCCGAAAGGCGGGCUAAUGCUGCGUACGCUGCCGGAUCUGCGGGUCCGGCAGGAAAGCCGUACCGAGGGUACGGCGCUCCAGGAUGGGCUCACGGCCUAUCAGCUAGUUGGUAGGGUAACGGCCUACCAAGGCAACGACGGGUAGCUGGUCUGAGAGGACGAUCAGCCACACUGGCACUGCGACACGGGCCAGACUCCUACGGGAGGCAGCAGUGAGGAAUAUUGGGCAAUGGGCGAAAGCCUGACCCAGCGACGCCGCGUGGAGGAUGAAGGCUCUAGGGCUGUAAACUCCUUUUCCAAGGGAAGAGUACUCGGCUUCGAAUAGGAGACCGAGGGUGACGGUACCCCCAGAGGAAGCACCGGCUAACUCCGUGCCAGCAGCCGCGGUAAUAC
Molecule: ribosomal RNA, 533 nt
Filed under: uncultured bacterium
Lineage: Bacteria
Description: bacterial SSU rRNA
Rfam family: Bacterial small subunit ribosomal RNA
Source: RNAcentral